UAUCUUCUCCCUCUGUUCCAAAUUACUCGUCGCAGAAAUGGAUGUAUCUAGAACUAAAAUACAUUUAGAUACAUCCAUACCUGCGACAAGUGAUUCGGGACGAAGGGAGUACAUC
Non-coding RNA from Triticum aestivum (bread wheat), 115 nucleotides. The record is from Rfam. Lineage: Eukaryota; Viridiplantae; Streptophyta; Magnoliopsida; Poales; Poaceae.